GUCGUAACAAGGUUUCCGUAGGUGAACCUGCGGAAGGAUCAUUACCGGUAUCCAUUCCGAACCCCGUGCGAACGGGCUCCUGCUCUUUGGAGUGGGGCCGCCGGUCGUCCUCGCGACGGCCUCUGCGUGCCGCCUCCCGUGUCACUGUGGCGCGGGUUGGGGGCGCGUGGGCAUGCGGCCGCGCGUGGCAAUCCUGAAUUGCCGCGAGCGCGCCGUUCGGGAGCGCGCCGAUUCUUCGGCUUGCUCCGCCCCACCCCACCGCGCGCGCGAGUCUCUUAGACCCGCGCGCGCCCCACCACAAACCUAACCACAACUCCUGUCGAAGGAUAUCUUGGCUCCCGCAACGAUGAAGAACGCAGCGAAAUGCGAUACGUAAUGUGAAUUGCAGAAUUCAGUGAAUCAUCGAGACUUUGAACGCACAUGGCAUUUCCAAGUUUCGCUUGGAAGUAUGUUCCUUCGAGUGGAGUUCCCACCCCACCUCGGUGGCGCCCCCCCCCGCGGGGGCGCGGCCGGAGGCGGCCUCUGGCGCGCAUUCGGUUGCGCGUCACUGGCUGAAGCUGGGGAGUGCGGGGCGUGCGCUCCGGGCGCCGGCCCGGCGUUAUUAGAUGUCCGGGUUGGCGUUCCAGGGGUGUUGCCUCCAGAUGGGCCCGAGCGGUUCCCAUCGGCGUGCUAGUGGCGUCUCCUCGCGAGCGCCGACGGUCGCUGAUGUGCCGCUCGAUCUCGUGCCGGUCUGGGUUCACAGGCGAUCCCUUUUGCGAGCGCGCGUCCGCCUCCCAGCCGCGCAAUAUCGUUGCGCGGCGGCGAGGGCGCCUUUAUUAUUGUGCGCCCUGCGUCUGAACCUCCUCCAUCGAAUGGAGCAAGACUACCCGCUGAACUUAAGCAUAUCACUAAGCGGAGGAAAAGAAACCAACAGGGAUGCCCCUAGUAAUGGCGAAUGAAGCGGGCAGAGCUCACGCCGGAAAUCCGGAGGCCUCUUACAGCCGCCUCCUGAAUUGUAGUCUGGAGAGGUGCCAUCGGUCCCCCUCGGCGCCAAAAUCCCUUGGAACGGGGUAUCGGAGAAGGUGAGAAUCCUGUCAAGCGCCGGAGUGGGACCGUACGAUGUGCUCUCGUAGAGUCGGGCUGCUUGGGAGUGCAGCCUGAAGCGGGUGGUAAAUUCCAUCUAAAGCUAAAUACUGGCGGGAGACCGAUAGCGAACAAGUACCGUGAGGGAAAGAUGCAAAGAACUUUGAAAAGAGAGUUAAAGAGUGCUUGAAAUUGGCAGGAGGAAACCCGGUUGCGCGUGGCAUUUGGCGUGGUCGACUCAGCCGCGCGCGGAGAUCUGUAGGGGACCUAACGGCCUCGUGGUCAGCGCGCGCGGUGCACUUCGGCCGCGUCGGUCAGCCGCGUUUCUGCGCGGCCCAUACGGCCGCGGGCAGGGCUUCGGCGCCGCCCGCGGUUUGGGGGUCGCGCGGGAUCCCGGCUGAUGCGCACGGGCGCAACCGACCCGUCUAGAAACACGGACCAAGGAGUCUGACGCGUGUGCGAGUACUAGAGUGGCAAGCUCGAGUGCGCAAUGAAAGUGAAGGGCGUGCCCCGUCAACCGAUCUUGAUCUUCUGUGAAGGGUUUGAGUGGAGCACAUCUGUCGGGACCCGAAAGAUGGUGAACUAUGCGUGAA
Molecule: ribosomal RNA, 1655 nt
Filed under: Phaeocystis globosa
Lineage: Eukaryota; Haptophyta; Phaeocystales; Phaeocystaceae
Description: eukaryotic LSU rRNA
Rfam family: Eukaryotic large subunit ribosomal RNA (bases 843-1655)
Source: RNAcentral